This 100-nucleotide non-coding RNA is filed under the name Actinobacillus succinogenes 130Z. RNAcentral describes it as "Aggregatibacter sRNA 22". It matches the Rfam family "Aggregatibacter sRNA 22". Lineage: Bacteria; Pseudomonadati; Pseudomonadota; Gammaproteobacteria; Pasteurellales; Pasteurellaceae. The record is from Rfam by way of RNAcentral.
GUGCGGCGACGAAAAUCGAAGAUUUUUGCACGUUGGCUUUGCCGACAACCCCGAAGGGAAAAGAAACCGUUUCGGCGGCUUCGAAUAAAAAUCUCAUCAU